CCUACGGGCGGCAGCAGUGGGGAAUAUUGGACAAUGGGGGCAACCCUGAUCCAGCCAUGCCGCGUGUGUGAAGAAGGCCCUCGGGUUGUAAAGCACUUUCAGUGAGGAAGAACGCCUGGUGGUUAAUACCCAUCAGGAAAGACAUCACUCACAGAAGAAGCACCGGCUAACUCCGUGCCAGCAGCCGCGGUAAUACGGAGGGUGCGAGCGUUAAUCGGAAUUACUGGGCGUAAAGCGCGCGUAGGUGGCUUGAUAAGCCGGUUGUGAAAGCCCCGGGCUCAACUUGGGAACGGCAUCCGGAACUGUCAAGCUAGAGUGCGGGAGAGGAAGGUAGAAUUCCCGGUGUAGCGGUGAAAUGCGUAGAGAUCGGGAGGAAUACCAGUGGCGAAGGCGGCCUUCUGGACUGACACUGACACUGAGGUGCGAAAGCGUGGGUAGCAAACAGGAUUAGAUACCCUAGUAGUC
This 465-nucleotide ribosomal RNA is filed under the name Vreelandella stevensii. RNAcentral's name for it is "partial 16S ribosomal RNA". It matches the Rfam family "Bacterial small subunit ribosomal RNA", at positions 338 to 795 of the family's 1533-position model. Lineage: Bacteria; Pseudomonadati; Pseudomonadota; Gammaproteobacteria; Oceanospirillales; Halomonadaceae. The record is from RNAcentral.